GCUUGAUGAUCAGACUCAUUAUUUCUUGAACCUGAUGACAGCUUUAUUCCUGUGAACAGAAUCCAAGGUC
Molecule: small nucleolar RNA, 70 nt
Organism: Camelus dromedarius (Arabian camel)
Lineage: Eukaryota; Metazoa; Chordata; Mammalia; Artiodactyla; Camelidae
Gene: SNORD108
Product: small nucleolar RNA, C/D box 108
Source: Ensembl